This 253-nucleotide ribosomal RNA is filed under the name uncultured bacterium. Its description in RNAcentral is "partial 16S ribosomal RNA". It matches the Rfam family "Bacterial small subunit ribosomal RNA", at positions 524 to 776 of the family's 1533-position model. The record is from RNAcentral.
UACGUAGGGGGCAAGCGUUAUCCGGAUUUACUGGGUGUAAAGGGAGCGCAGACGGCACUGCAAGUCUGGAGUGAAAGCCCGAGGCCCAACCACGGGACUGCUCUGGAAACUGCGGGGCUGGAGUGCAGGAGGGGUAAGCGGAAUUCCUAGUGUAGCGGUGAAAUGCGUAGAUAUUAGGAGGAACACCGGUGGCGAAGGCGGCUUACUGGACUGUAACUGACGUUGAGGCUCGAAGGCGUGGGGAGCAAACAGG